RNA transcript from Pongo pygmaeus (Bornean orangutan), 5597 nucleotides. It is a transcript of the gene named DNA methyltransferase 1, with no coding region annotated. The transcript is spliced from 41 exons. The record is from RefSeq and is a predicted model, not a curated record. Lineage: Eukaryota; Metazoa; Chordata; Mammalia; Primates; Hominidae.
CCCUGGGCAUGGCCGGCUCCGUUCCAUCCUUCUGCACAGGGUAUCGCCUCUCUCCGUUUGGUACCUCCCCUUCUCCCCCACGCCCGGACUGGGGUGGUAGACGCCGCCUCCGCUCAUCGCCCCUCCCCAUCGGUUUCCGCGCGAAAAGCCGGGGCGCCUGCGCUGCCGCCGCCGCGUCUGCUGAAGCCUCCGAGAUGCCGGCGCGUACCGCCCCAGCCCGGGUGCCCACACUGGCCGUCCCGGCCAUCUCGCUGCCCGACGAUGUCCGCAGGCGGCUCAAAGAUUUGGAAAGAGACAGCUUAACAGAAAAGGAAUGUGUGAAGGAGAAAUUGAAUCUCUUGCACGAAUUUCUGCAAACAGAAAUAAAGAAUCAGUUAUGUGACUUGGAAACCAAAUUACGUAAAGAAGAAUUAUCCGAGGAGGGCUACCUGGCUAAAGUCAAAUCCCUUUUAAAUAAAGAUUUGUCCUUGGAGAAUGGUGCUCAUGCUUGCAACCGGGAAGUGAAUGGACGUCUAGAAAACGGGAACCAAGCAAGAAGUGAAGUCCGUAGAGUGGGAAUGGCAGAUGCCAACAGCCCCCCCAAGCCCCUUUCCAAACCUCGCACGCCCAGGAGGAGCAAGUCCGAUGGAGAGGCUAAGCCUGAACCUUCACCUAGCCCCAGGAUUACAAGGAAAAGCACCAGGCAAACCACCAUCACAACUCAUUUUGCAAAGGGCCCUGCCAAACGGAAACCUCAGGAAGAGUCUGAAAGAGCCAAAUCGGAUGAGUCCAUCAAGGAAGAAGACAAAGACCAGGAUGAGAAGAGACGUAGAGUUACAUCCAAAGAACGAGUUGCUAGACCACUUCCUGCAGAAGAACCUGAAAGAGCAAAACCAGGAACACGCACUGAAAAGGAAGAAGAAAGAGAUGAAAAAGAAGAAAAGAGACUCCGAAGUCAAACCAAAGAACCAACACCCAAACAAAAACUGAAGGAGGAGCCGGACAGAGAAGCCAGGGCAGGCGUGCACGCUGAUGAGGACGAAGACGGAGACGAGAAAGUAAAGGAUGAGAAGAAGCACAGAAGUCAACCCAAAGAUCUAGCUGCCAAACGGAGGCCCGAAGAAAAAGAACCUGAAAAAGUAAAUCCACAGAUUUCUGAUGAAAAAGAUGAGGAUGAAAAGGAGGAGAAGAGACGCAAAACGACCCCCAAAGAACCAACGGAGAAAAAAAUGGCUCGCGCCAAAACAGUCGUGAACUCCAAGACCCACCCUCCCAAGUGCAUUCAGUGCGGGCAGUACCUGGACGACCCUGACCUCAAAUAUGGGCAGCACCCACCAGACGCGGUGGAUGAGCCACAGAUGCUGACAAAUGAGAAGCUGUCCAUCUUUGACGCCAACGAGUCUGGCUUUGAGAGUUAUGAGGCACUUCCCCAGCACAAACUGACCUGCUUCAGUGUGUACUGUAAGCAUGGUCACCUGUGUCCCAUCGACACCGGCCUCAUCGAGAAGAAUAUCGAACUCUUCUUUUCUGGUUCAGCAAAACCAAUCUAUGAUGAUGACCCAUCUCUUGAAGGUGGUGUUAAUGGCAAAAAUCUUGGCCCCAUAAAUGAAUGGUGGAUCACUGGCUUUGAUGGAGGUGAAAAGGCCCUCAUCGGCUUCAGCACCUCAUUUGCUGAAUACAUUCUGAUGGAUCCCAGUCCCGAGUACGCGCCCAUAUUUGGGCUGAUGCAGGAGAAGAUCUACAUCAGCAAGAUUGUGGUGGAGUUCCUGCAGAGCAAUUCCGACUCGACCUACGAGGACCUGAUCAACAAGAUCGAGACCACGGUUCCUCCUUCUGGCCUCAACUUGAACCGCUUCACAGAGGACUCCCUCCUGCGACAUGCGCAGUUUGUGGUGGAGCAGGUGGAGAGUUAUGACGAGGCCGGGGACAGUGACGAGCAGCCCAUCUUCCUGACGCCCUGCAUGCGGGACCUGAUCAAGCUGGCUGGGGUCACGCUGGGACAGAGGCGAGCCCAGGCGAGGCGGCAGACCAUCAGGCAUUCUACCAGGGAGAAGGACAGGGGACCCACGAAAGCCACCACCACCAAGCUGGUCUACCAGAUCUUCGAUACUUUCUUCGCAGAGCAAAUUGAAAAGGAUGACAGAGAAGACAAGGAGAACGCCUUUAAGCGCCGGCGAUGUGGCGUCUGUGAGGUGUGUCAGCAGCCUGAGUGUGGGAAAUGUAAAGCCUGCAAGGACAUGGUUAAAUUUGGUGGCAGUGGACGGAGCAAGCAGGCUUGCCAAGAGCGGAGGUGUCCCAAUAUGGCCAUGAAGGAGGCAGAUGACGAUGAGGAAGUCGAUGAUAACAUCCCAGAGAUGCCGUCACCCAAAAAAAUGCACCAGGGGAAGAAAAAGAAACAGAACAAGAAUCGCAUCUCUUGGGUUGGAGAAGCCGUCAAGACUGAUGGGAAGAAGAGUUACUAUAAGAAGGUGUGCAUUGAUGCAGAAACCCUGGAAGUGGGGGACUGUGUUUCUGUUAUUCCAGAUGAUUCCUCAAAACCGCUGUAUCUAGCAAGGGUCACGGCGCUGUGGGAGGACAGCAGCAACGGGCAGAUGUUUCACGCCCACUGGUUCUGCGCUGGGACAGACACAGUCCUCGGGGCCACUUCGGACCCUCUGGAGCUGUUCUUGGUGGAUGAAUGUGAGGACAUGCAGCUUUCAUAUAUCCACAGCAAAGUGAAAGUCAUCUACAAAGCCCCCUCCGAAAACUGGGCCUUGGAGGGAGGCAUGGAUCCCGAGUCCCUGCUGGAGGGGGACGACGGGAAGACCUACUUCUACCAGCUGUGGUACGAUCAAGACUAUGCGAGAUUCGAGUCCCCUCCAAAAACCCAGCCAACAGAGGACAACAAGUUCAAAUUCUGUGUGAGCUGUGCCCGUCUGGCUGAGAUGAGGCAAAAAGAAAUCCCCAGGGUCCUGGAGCAGCUCGAGGACCUGGAUAGCCGGGUCCUCUACUACUCAGCCACCAAGAACGGCAUCCUGUACCGAGUUGGUGAUGGCGUGUACCUGCCCCCUGAGGCCUUCACGUUCAACAUCAAGCUGUCCAGUCCUGUGAAACGCCCACGGAAGGAGCCUGUGGACGAGGACCUGUACCCAGAGCACUACCGGAAAUACUCCGACUACAUCAAAGGCAGCAACCUGGAUGCCCCUGAGCCCUACCGAAUUGGCCGGAUCAAAGAGAUCUUCUGUCCCAAGAAGAGCAACGGCAGGCCCAACGAGACUGACAUCAAAAUCCGGGUCAACAAGUUCUACAGGCCUGAGAACACCCACAAGUCCACUCCAGCGAGCUACCACGCAGACAUCAACCUGCUGUACUGGAGCGACGAGGAGGCCGUGGUGGACUUCAAGGCUGUGCAGGGCCGCUGCACCGUGGAGUAUGGGGAGGACCUGCCCGAGUGCGUCCAGGUGUACUCCAUGGGCGGCCCCGACCGCUUCUACUUCCUCGAGGCCUAUAAUGCAAAGACCAAAAGCUUUGAAGAUCCUCCCAACCAUGCCCGUAGCCCUGGAAACAAAGGGAAGGGCAAGGGAAAAGGGAAGGGCAAGCCCAAGUCCCAAGCCUGUGAGCCGAGCGAGCCAGAGAUAGAGAUCAAGCUGCCCAAGCUGCGGACCCUGGACGUGUUUUCUGGCUGCGGAGGGUUGUCGGAGGGAUUCCACCAAGCAGGCAUCUCUGACACGCUGUGGGCCAUCGAGAUGUGGGACCCUGCAGCCCAGGCAUUCCGGCUGAACAACCCCGGCUCCACAGUGUUCACAGAGGACUGCAACAUCCUGCUGAAGCUGGUCAUGGCUGGGGAGACCACCAACUCCCGCGGCCAGCGGCUACCCCAGAAGGGAGACGUGGAGAUGCUGUGCGGCGGGCCGCCCUGCCAGGGCUUCAGCGGCAUGAACCGCUUCAAUUCGCGCACCUACUCCAAGUUCAAAAACUCUCUGGUGGUUUCCUUCCUCAGCUACUGCGACUACUACCGGCCCCGGUUCUUCCUCCUGGAGAAUGUCAGGAACUUUGUCUCCUUCAAGCGCUCCAUGGUCCUGAAGCUCACCCUCCGCUGCCUGGUCCGCAUGGGCUAUCAGUGCACCUUCGGCGUGCUGCAGGCCGGUCAGUACGGUGUGGCCCAGACACGGAGGCGGGCCAUCAUCCUGGCCGCGGCCCCUGGAGAGAAGCUCCCUCUGUUCCCGGAGCCACUGCACGUGUUUGCUCCCCGGGCCUGCCAGCUGAGUGUGGUGGUGGAUGACAAGAAGUUUGUGAGCAACAUAACCAGGUUGAGCUCGGGUCCUUUCCGGACCAUCACGGUGCGAGACACGAUGUCCGACCUGCCGGAGGUGCGGAAUGGAGCCUCGGCACUGGAGAUCUCCUACAACGGGGAGCCUCAGUCCUGGUUCCAGAGGCAGCUCCGGGGCGCACAGUACCAGCCCAUCCUCAGGGACCACAUCUGUAAGGACAUGAGUGCAUUGGUGGCUGCCCGCAUGCGGCACAUCCCCUUGGCCCCAGGCUCAGACUGGCGCGAUCUGCCCAACAUCGAGGUGCGGCUCUCGGACGGCACCAUGGCCAGGAAGCUGCGGUAUACCCACCAUGACAGGAAGAAUGGCCGCAGCAGCUCUGGGGCCCUCCGUGGGGUCUGCUCCUGCGUGGAAGCCGGCAAAGCCUGCGACCCCGCAGCCAGGCAGUUCAACACCCUCAUCCCCUGGUGCCUGCCCCACACUGGGAACCGGCACAACCACUGGGCUGGCCUCUAUGGAAGGCUCGAGUGGGACGGCUUCUUCAGCACAACGGUCACCAACCCCGAGCCCAUGGGCAAGCAGGGCCGUGUGCUCCACCCAGAGCAGCACCGCGUGGUGAGCGUGCGGGAGUGUGCCCGCUCCCAGGGCUUCCCUGAUACCUACCGGCUCUUCGGCAACAUCCUGGACAAGCACCGGCAGGUGGGCAAUGCCGUGCCACCGCCCCUGGCCAAAGCCAUUGGCUUGGAGAUCAAGCUCUGUAUGUUGGCCAAAGCCCGAGAGAGUGCCUCAGAGACAGGGUCUUGUUCUUUCACCCAGACUGGACUGCAGUGAUGUGAUCAUAGCUCACUGCAGCCUCGAACUCCUUCGCUCCAGAGAUCCCCCGACCUCAGUCUCUGGAGUAGCUGGGACUACAGUUUUUUCCCCUGCGGAGUCAUCAUGAAUCACUUCAACUGAGGACGGUUGUGCUUAGAGCAAGGAGCUGAGCAAUAAAGAAGUAAACGCACAAAAUUAUACCGGAAAGCCAAGAACGCUACAAAGAAAAGAAGAGGGAGUGGCUGAGGAGAGGCCACUUGGCAUCUGAAUCAUUGGGAUCGGGAAAGAAGACAAGGAACAGUUUAAGCAAAAGGAUUGUUUUCCCUGAGCUUUGGUUUCUUUUUUCUUUCUUUUUUUUUUUCUUUUUUAGAGACAGGGGUCUCACUAUGUUGCCCAGGCUUGUCUCAAACUCCUGGUGUCAAGCCAUCCCCACGCCUCAGUCUCCCAAAGUGCGGGAUUACAGGCAGGUGCCACUGCACCCAGUCAGAGCCUCAGCUUCUUCAGCUGUAAAAUGGAAGUAAUAUCAUCCUCACCAUGCUUCAUAUACGAUAAGCACUC